GACGAACGCUGGCGGCGUGCUUAACACAUGCAAGUCGAACGGAAAGGCCCUGCUCUUGUGGGGUGCUCGAGUGGCGAACGGGGGAGUAACACGUGAGUAACCUGCCCUUGACUGUGGGAUAACUUCAGGAAACUGGGGCUAAUACCGGAUAUGAGCUCCUGCUGCAUGGGGGGGGUUGGAAAGUUUCGUCGGUUGGGGAUGGACUCGCGGCUUAUCAGCUUGUUGGUGGGGUAGUGGCUUACCAAGGCUUUGACGGGUAGCCGGCCUGAGAGGGUGACCGGCCACAUUGGGACUGGGGUACGGCCCAGACUCCUACGGGAGGCAGCAGUGGGGAAUAUUGCACAAUGGGCGGAAGCCUGAUGCAGCAACGCCGCGUGCGGGAUGACGGCCUUCGGGUUGUAAACCGCUUUCGCCUGUGACGAAGCGUGAGUGACGGUAAUGGGUAAAGAAGCACCGGCUAACUACGUG
This 468-nucleotide ribosomal RNA is filed under the name uncultured bacterium. Its description in RNAcentral is "partial 16S ribosomal RNA". It matches the Rfam family "Bacterial small subunit ribosomal RNA", at positions 28 to 507 of the family's 1533-position model. The record is from RNAcentral.